Molecule: long non-coding RNA, 850 nt
Filed under: Homo sapiens (human)
Lineage: Eukaryota; Metazoa; Chordata; Mammalia; Primates; Hominidae
Description: long intergenic non-protein coding RNA 2316
Source: RNAcentral
GGGAUUUUGAAGAUGUAGUUAAAGCCCCAAAGUGGUUGACUUUUUACAAUACGGAGAGCAUUUGGUUGAGACUGAUCUAAUCACAUGAGCCCUUUCAAAGCAGAAUUUUCUCGGGCUAGUAGCAGAAUGGGAAUUGGAAAUUUAAAGUGCAAGAAGGAACUAAUGUGAAGAAGAUUCUCCAUUGCUGAGAUGGAGUGGGGCACGUGGCAGGGAUCUAAGAGUGGCCUCCAGAAGCUCUAAAUCUCCAGAAUCUCCAGGGAUUGGAACCAAGUGCUUUAUCUUUACCAUAUACCAAUCCAUGAAUCAACUCCAAAACAGAUCUCUAGAAACAGACAAGACUGACUACUGCCUGAAGGUUUCUGACACCAAGUUCCUGAGAUGUACCAAAUAUGAAAUAAUUUUAGAAUUCGAUCUCAAAUGGCCCUUUUGCAAACUCCAAAAUGUUGUGUACAUGGAACAGAGGCUGUUAGGAAAUUUGCCUUGCAACUAAAAUUUAAGCAAAGAAACAACUUGUCAUCUACCUGUUUACCUCUAACAGAAGCUUAUACACAUAUGCAUGGGCUUGGAGAAAAUGAUAUUCACUUAAAAACAAUAUAAUAAUGACAUGUACAGAGCCAUAUAGCUCCAAAACCUUUCAAGUGCUACGUCCAUUUGUGAGGACAUAUUUAUCAGUCUAGUACUACCUUGUAACAGUACAAAAGUACAUUCACAUUAUUUUUUCUAAAGGAGCUUAGUUCCUAGAGGGAAAAAUACACUCUUCUCAAAGUUUUAUAAUAAUAAUUAACAUACCCUACAUGAUGUUUGUGAGACUCAAAUAAGGAAAACAAUGGAAUAUGCUAUAUAAGAGCAA